RNAcentral lists this long non-coding RNA (2799 nucleotides) under Capsicum annuum. RNAcentral's name for it is "long non-coding RNA (CANN_LNC020899)". Lineage: Eukaryota; Viridiplantae; Streptophyta; Magnoliopsida; Solanales; Solanaceae. The record is from RNAcentral.
CAACAAAAAGUUUAGCAACACAAGAUGAAGCUCCACAAUAUUACAAUAGCAACAAGAACAAACGGGUUACAUUAACAACACAAGAAGCUGAAACUAAAACAAGAUACAAGAUAGGUAAUUAGACAAGUGUUGAUGUAGUAUUAACAGCCCAAGAGCAUAUUCCACUCUUGGACCUUUAAAACUUUACACAACAAACACCUAACUCUUACAAUUGACACAAGAGAGGCAUCCACCACCCAAGCACCAACGUAUCAAGCAAAAUGCAACACAUAAGAGAAUCCACCCUUAUGUUAUGCCCUAGUUUCAUGAAAAUUCUCUCUCACUCUAAGAGAAGUAUUCUUCAAUAAUAAUGAUCAACUAAAGAAAUAAACCCUACAAUGUUCUAUUUAUACUACAUUACAAUAAUAGAUAAAAUGACAAAAGGGCCCUUUAGUGACUAGUCUUCAAAAAUACUCAAAAGUGUCAUGAUUAUGGUCAUACUUGUAUCAUCCUCUCCAUAUUGAGAGGAAUUUUCCCACAAAUUCAUAACCUCACCUCUUUUACAAAGAAACUUCACAAUCUUCUUCGCACGGCCACACAUCUUCUAAAUCUUCCUCGCCUUGCAUUUUAACCUCUUUUUGCUCUCCAUCUUGAGGCUUGCCAUCAACCUUAGCCAAUUCAAUUACUACUUCUUCCCCAAGAUAGUUCAAUUUUCCCUCCUUUAGGAUCACAUUCCUCUGAUUUGGGCACUCACUAGCCUUGUGCCCCCACCUUUGGCAUUUGAAGCAUUAAAACCCCUUGGGAUUGGAAGUAGAAUUCAAUUUACCUUCAUACCUUAGAGGAUGUUUUUGGACAACCUUGGUGGCCUCGGGUUGGGUAGCCAUGAAUGAGUUAUCUUUGAGCUCUCUCUCAACGUCUAAAUCCGCAUGGAAGAUGCCAUCUAUGGUGUCAAAUUUGUGAAGCGUCAUGCGAGUGGAGAUGUCCUUGUUUAACCCAACCUUAAAGCGCACAAUGUCAUGACUUACUUGAUCGCCUCGGUGGUCAAGUUUCAACAUCAAUUGUUGAAACUCAUCAUAGUAAGCCAUGGCACUUUUGUUCCCUUGCCUCAAAUUGUACAAUUUAGUAAGGAGCUCAUGCCUAUAAGUCUCGGGCAAGUACCUUUGUCGCAUAAGGUUCUUCAAUCAAAACCAAGGAGGAGGUUGUGCCCCAAUCAUCUCAUUCCCAAACCAUUUAACAUACUUCCACCAUGUAAGGUAGGCUUUGGGAUCACUCUCACCUUUGAAAACGGGAAGGCUCACUUUGAUAGAAUUGAGACCUACAUCUCGGUUUGGGUGUCCAUCUCUCACCUCUCGGCCUAAAUCCCCAUGUCUACACCUAAUUCUUUCUUUAAUCAAGUAAACAUCAUCAUACGGCCUAUAACCAUCAUGUUGUCCUCCCCUACCAUAUCGCUCAACAUGGAUGGGUCUAUUUGUGUUAAGUGGAGCUUGUAGUGGCGGGAUUGGAUUUGGAUAGUGAGGUCUUUGGUCAAGUGGAGUUUGGAUGUGAGGGUUUGGGUUUGGUGAUGGUAUUUAGGUUCCAAGACCUUCUUGUUGUACUUGGUGGAGUGGAGGAUGGCUUGGUCUAUCCUGUUCUCGGCUUCGGGAGUAAAGAUUGGUUUGAUUUAUGGCAAUUGGUGUAUAAUACAUUUGGUGCAAGGUCUCGGGAGUAUUAGUUGGGGAAAUGUUUUGAGGGGUAGAAGGUCGACUCCUUUGGCUUUCCACACGUUCUAAUCUCCCACUCAUUGAUGUCACAUCCACACUAAUUUCUCAAGACCCACAUUCAACCUAGCCACAUCUCGGGACAUAGUUUCAAGGCGAGCCAAAAUGAGAUUGAUGGCAUUAUUAUCCAUUGUUUGAGCAUUUGAAGCCUCGAGUUCCAUUGUGGUGGUAUAAACCUUCAAGUUACGGUCCAAUCAAGAUACCAAAUCAGUCCGCAACGUUACAUACAACAAUACAAUGCAAAACCUACAACACAAAACACACGUUAUUUCAAAACAACCUCCCACAAUGAGAUCCCACCUUCAAGUUUCUUCAAACUCAAGCUCAACAUUGGUGGAUGGCUCAAAUAACCUCCAAUUUAGCUCAAAUUCGAACCCUUUACUCCUACAGUGUUAGAGAACACAAAUCUAACACUAAAAACAUAAGAAAAACACAAAAUCAAAAACUCAAAAUUUGACCUAGGGUCAAAAAUGGGUUUAGUAUAUUUUUGGGGGAUUUUCAAUUUUGACACUUCUUUUUUUGUUAGGAUUUUCAAUUUCUAUACUCUAAUAGUAUUAGGGAACAAGAUCUAACACUAGAAACACACAAAACAAGAAAGAAGAGGAUACAAGGUGUUAAUACACUAAAACAGCCAACCAACAACAAGUUUAGCAACACAAGAUGAAGCUCCACAAUAUUACAAUAGCAACAAGAACAAAUGGGUUACAUUAACAACACAAGAAGCUGAAACUAAAACAAGAUACAAGAUAGGUAGUUAGACAAGUGUUGAUGUAGUCUUAAUAACCCAAGAGCAUAUUCCACUCUUGGACCUUUAAAAAUUCACACAACAAACACCUAACUCUUACAAUUGACACAAGAGAGGCGUCCACCACCCAAGCACCAACGUAUCAAGCAAAAUGCAACACACAAGAGAAUCCACCUUUAUGUUAUGCCCUAGUUUCAAUUGGACUCUCUCUCACUCUAAGAGAAAUAUUCUUCAAUAAUAAUGAUCAACUAAAGAAAUAAACCUACAAUGUUCUAUUUAUACUACAUUACAAUAAUAGACAAAAUGACAAAAGGGCCC